GCGAGGUGCAUGCGAUCAUGGGGAAGAACGGGUCAGGGAAGAGCACUCUCUCAAAGGUUCUUGUUGGCCAUCCUGAUUAUGAAGUAACUGGAGGUAGCAUUGUCUUUAAAGGUGAGAACCUGCUCGACAUGGAGCCAGAGGAAAGAUCUCAUGCUGGCCUGUUCAUGAGUUUCCAAACUCCGGUUGAGAUACCAGGUGUAAGCAACAUAGAUUUUCUGCUCAUGGCCUAUAAUGCUCGAAGGAAAAAGCGGGGUCUACCAGAGCUAUCACCGAUUGAGUUCUUUGGUUUCUUGUCUCCCAAACUUGCUGCUGUAAAUAUGAACCCGAGGUUCCUGGACAGGAAUGUAAAUGAAGGAUUCAGUGGUGGUGAAAAGAAGCGGAAUGAGAUUUUGCAGCUAGCGGUUCUGGAGGCUGAUUUGGCUAUUUUAGAUGAAAUUGAUUCAGGGUUAGAUGUUGAUGCGCUUCAAGAUGUAGCAAAAGCUGUCAAUGGGCUUCUGGCACCCAAUAGAUCGAUUUUGAUGAUCACUCAUUAUCAACGCCUUCUAGAUUAUAUCAAGCCUUCUUAUAUUCAUAUAAUGGAUGACGGGCGGAUUGUAAAGACAGGCGAUAGUUCGCUUGCAAAACAGCUUGAGAAGGAAGGCUACAGGGC
RNAcentral lists this unclassified non-coding RNA (649 nucleotides) under Hevea brasiliensis (rubber tree). Lineage: Eukaryota; Viridiplantae; Streptophyta; Magnoliopsida; Malpighiales; Euphorbiaceae. The record is from RNAcentral.